UCCCUGGGGAGAUUAUGCACAUCUUCUUCCUAACACAUAUGACAGAACAAAAGGGUGUUCGUGACUUCAAAUAGUUAAGAAAUUUUCUUAACCUGAAGAAACAGCUUAUGGAGAGAACAAAGGGACCUGACCACAGAUCUUUGGCAGAAUUUUCUUCUGUAGCCCAUGAGAGAUAAAGUAAUAGCAUUUGCAUCAUCCGAGGAAAGAGACUAAGCUUUAUAGAGAUGAAUGGAUGACCUAAGGGUCCCACAGUCCCCAAACUGACUGUAAUUUCCUAGAGAUCUGGAUGCCAGAAAUUAAAGAUCAAGAUGUCCAUAAGGUUGCUUCCCUCUGUGAGGGAAUGCUCUGCUUUCGGCCUCUCUCCUCGGCACAUAGACAGAGGGCUUCUCCCUGAGAGUCUCACAUCUCUCCCCCAUGUGUGUCUACCUCUGUGUCCAAAUUCUUCCUUUUUAUGAGGACACCAGUCAUAUUGGAU
Long non-coding RNA from Suricata suricatta (meerkat), 475 nucleotides. RefSeq lists it as uncharacterized. The transcript has 3 exons. The record is from RefSeq and is a predicted model, not a curated record. NCBI's taxonomy places the organism in Eukaryota, Metazoa, Chordata, Mammalia, Carnivora, Herpestidae.